Molecule: long non-coding RNA, 3929 nt
Filed under: Pan troglodytes (chimpanzee)
Lineage: Eukaryota; Metazoa; Chordata; Mammalia; Primates; Hominidae
Description: long non-coding RNA NONPTRT008066
Source: RNAcentral
CAGUGGCACAAUCUUGGCUCACUGCAACCUCUGCCUCCCAAGCUCAAGCAAUUUCUGGCAAAUUUUUGUAUUUUUAGUAGGGACGGGGUUUCGCCAUGUUGUCCAGGCCGGUCUUGAACGCCUGAUAUCAAGCGAUUUGCCCUCAAGUGACCCACCCACCUUGGCCUCCCAAAGUGCUGGAAUUACAGGCAUGAGUCACGGCACACGGCCGACAAACUAUAUUUUGAGAAGGAUUUUAUUUUUCGGUGCUGAGGUGCUUUGCUGGAGGAGCUGCCAGGAGGAGCUGCGCGGGGCAGGCCCGGGGGACCAGAGGCCCUUGCUUUAGCGGCGGCCCUGCGUGUGCCAGAGGCUUGCAGAGUGAUCUGAGCACGCCAAGAGAUUGCUGUCAAUGAAAGCACCAGAUUUCCGCGUAGGAGGAACUCGGGGGCAACGAUGCAAUUGGAAGGCACUGGAAGCAUUCAGGAAGCCCUGGGGCCAAAGCAAACAGCAUGCUUGAGGCAAGGUGCUGUGAGGCCCAAAUGAGCUGAAGCUUGCACAAAACUGCUCACCACUGCCAUAGCUGAAUCAGCGGAGGCCAGGAGGAUGCGAGGCGGUGCCCGCCCGCGAUUGUCUGAUCAUCUCCCUCUUGGACUGCUCAGACUCAGGCAUGCCCUGCAUCAAAUCCAACCUGUCACCAGGUCUUCAAGGGGGAGGCCUGCGGAAAUCCUACUGUGAAUGAAACUACAGUUGCUAUUCAUCGUCUCCCUCCUGCACCUACCACUCCAGAUGUCCCUCACUCUUGGCCAGCACUUUGGCUUGUUUAAGUUGUGUGCCAGGUUCAAGAUUCACCAAGAAGGCAGGGCGCAGUGGCUCACAUCUGUAAUCCCAGCACUUUGGGAGGCUGAAGCAGGCAGAUCACUUCAGCCCAGGAGUUUGAGACCAGCCUGGGCAACAGAGCAAGACCCCAUCUCUAAAGAAAAAUAAUUAUUCAGGUGUGGUGGCACAUGCCUGUAGUCCCAGCUACUCAGGAGGCGGAGGUGGGAGGAUCGCUUGAGCCCAGGAGGUUGAGGCUGCAGUGAGCCAUGAUUGCACCAUUGCACUCUAGCUGGGCAACAGAGCAAAACCCUGUCUCCAAAAAUAAUAAGUAAAUAAAUAAAUAAGAUACUAAGAGACAUCCCAGUGACUCUCCUGAGUCCCAAACAUACUCAUCCAUCCCUCAUGGAGAAACAACUCUAUCUCCUUGCAAUAGUCAGAACUAGUUUCUCCUGCCAGUUUAAUCAGUACUUUUUUUAUUGCAGUAAAAUACACACAACAUAAAAUGUGCGACUUUAACCAUUUAUUAUUAUUAUUAUUAUUAUUAUUAUUAUUAUUAUUAUUGAGACGGAGUUUCGCUCUUGUUGCCCACGCUGGAGUGCAGGGGCGCGAUCUUGGCUCACUGCAACUUCCACUUUCUGGGUUCAAGCGAUUCUCUUGCCUCAGCCUCCGGAGUAGCUGAGAUUACAGGCACACGCAGCCAUGCCCAGCUAAUUUUUGUAUUUUUAGUAGAGACGGAGUUUCACCAUAUUGGUCAGGCUGGUCUCAAACUCCUGACCUCAGGUGAUCCACCCACCCCUUGGCCUCCCAAAGUACUGGGAUUACAGGCGUGAACCAACAUGCCCAGCCCAUUUUAACCAUUUUUAAAUGUUCAUUCAGUGGCCUGAAUUACAUGAACAUUGCUGGACAACCAUUGCUACUAUGUAUUUCCAAAACUUUUAAAUUGCCUUAAACAGAAACCUUGUAACCAUUAAGCAACACCUCUCCAUCCCCUCUCCCCUCAGCCCCUAGUAACCACUAGCCUACUUUCUCUGCUACUUUGUCUCUUGUAGAUGUUUCAAACAAGUAGAAUGAUAUGAUACUUGUCCUUUUGAAACUGACUUAUUUUACAUAGUAUAGUGUUUUCAAGGUCCAUCCAUGUGGUAGCACGUAUUAAAGCUUCAUGCACUUUUAUGGCUGAAUAAUGUUCCAUUGUAUGUACAAGGCGUGCCACAUUUUGUUAUUCAUUCACCUGUUAAUGGCAACUUGGCUUGUUUCCACUUUUGGGCCCUUGUGGAUAAUGCUGCAGUGAACAACAGCAUGGAUGUCUCUGAGUCCUGCUUUCAGUUCUUCAGGGUAUAUGCCUAGCAGUGGAGUAGCUGAUUCUAUGUUAAUUCUAUGUUUAAUUUUUUGAGAAACUGCCAUAUUGUUCUCCAGGCUGGCUGCACCAUUCCACAUUCCCACUAACCGUGCACAAAGAUUCCAAUUUCUUACCAACACACUCUCAUCAAUACAUGUUAUUUUUAGUUUAUCGUGUUUUCAUUUUUCUUUUAUUAUAUAUAGCAGGCAUUCUAAUGGGUGUGGGGUGGUAUCUCAUUUUGGUUUUGAUCUGCAUUUUCCUAAUGUUUAGCGAUGUUGAGUAUACUUUCCUGUGGUCAUUUGUAUAUUUUCUUUGGAUGUGUAUCUGUUCAAAUCCUUUACUCAUUUUUAAUUGAGUUGUCUUUUUGUUAUUGAGUUGUAGGAGUUCCUUAUAUAUUCUUGAUUUUAAAACUUUAUCAGAUAUAUGAUUUGCAGAUAUUUUCUCCCAUUCCAUCGGUUGUUUUUUCAGUUUCUUGAUAAUGUCCUUUCAUGCACAAAAGUGUUUAGUUUUGAUGAAUUCCAAUUUGUCUCUUUUUCUUUCUUUGCUCAUGUUUUUGGUGUCGUAUCUGAGAAUCCAUUACCAAAUCCAAGGUCAUGAAGAUUUACCUGUAUGUUUUCUUGUAAGAGUUCUGAUGUUUGUCACUGAUCCAUGCUGAGUUAACAUUUAUACCGUAUAAUGUAGGGGCUACCUCUUCAUUCUUUUGCAUGUAGAAACUCCGUUAUCCUAAUUGUUGCUAAUUGCCUCUGGCCCACUGACUUGAGAAGCCCAAGAGGACCAGGGAGUAUUUGUAUUUUCAAGUUCUGUAGAAUUGGUGAUGUUCCCUGGUGGAGGAGUCCACUCUCCGCUCCUCCUCCCCCAUCAAGAACUAAGACGUCGAAUUUGCUAGAGCCCCACCCAAAGCUGUGGACACAGGAAGCACACAUUUCUCAAGGUGGUCUCUGCGAGUGAUGGUGACAGCAGCCGAUUUCACUUCCCCCGCCACCCCCUGGGUUUCCAGCCCCAUGUCUUUCUGCUGUUGGGAUCAUAGCACCAUGUGUCUGCUCUUGGUAAGGCACGUACACCACAGUUUCAAGGAUAGUAUCCCAAUUAUACAGGGUGUGGGCUCACGCUUUCACCCUGGCAUAGCCUUGGCACAGGUCAUCCUGAUGUUCUUGUAGGCCUGCUGCUUCCAGAGGAACCUUGGAGCCAUAGCUUCUUUGCUGUAAAACAGACCCCUUGGCUUGAGGCAGUGUUGUUCAAAUCCCUUGCCAAUAAAUCAGAGACAACCGUAAGUGCUCUGUUGGUGAUGCCAGUGAAGGCACUGUUGCAAGGAAGGAAAAUCCAUAUCCAGAGUCGGUGUUCACUCUGCUAGGACUCAUCACUGUCUCAUCAAUGACAGAAGGGGUCUCAUAUAAUGAACUUUGCACUGUGACUGCCUGAUCUCCUUGUGAAAUGGUGCCAUCUUGAGGGCUCAUUAUUAGUCCAUGUGGUUGGCAGGUAGGGCAUUCAGUAGUGGCAGCAGCCAGGUCAUCUCUAGCAAGAGGGAACUUGUGUUGGGCUCAUGCCUCCCUUGACUUUUGCCACCAUGGCCACACCAUUCAUGGAACUAUCUAUUUCCCCUGCCAUGGGGUGGCUGAUGCUGGCUGAUGCCCAGAGGAUGAACCAUCCUGUCCACCCAGUUGCUAGGUGCCUCCUCUGCAGGAGAGGCUUUUUGGCAGACCUUAACGUAAGUCCAAUGAUUGGCACGCUAGUGCCAUUUCCAUAGGUCAGUAGUACUGAUUUUUCCUUUUGUCUCAGACACCAAUAUGGCUCGGCACAG